AGAGGGUGAGACUCCCGUCCGCCUGGUAGAAUGAGUCUUUGUCAACGAGUCGAGUUGUUUGGGAUUGCAGCUCUAAUUUGGUGGUAAAUUCCAUCUAAAGCUAAAUAUUGGUGGGAGACCGAUAGCGUACAAGUACCGUGAGGGAAAGAUGCAAAGAACUUUGAAAAGAGAGUUAAAGAGUACCUGAAAUUGCUGAAACGGAAGCGAAGGAAACCAGUGUUUGUUGGUUCAUAUUUCCCUGGCCACUUGUGGUUUGGGCGCUGUGAGCUUGCGUGGGUUUGCUUUGGUUGAUCCCUUUGGAAGAGCGCAGUCAGAGUUGAUGUCUGUUGCUAGCACUGGGUUUGGCUAAUGCAGACGAAAUGGUUUUCUUUACCCCGUCUUG
This 382-nucleotide ribosomal RNA is filed under the name Pseudo-nitzschia pseudodelicatissima. RNAcentral's name for it is "LSU rRNA". It matches the Rfam family "Eukaryotic large subunit ribosomal RNA", at positions 207 to 656 of the family's 3401-position model. Lineage: Eukaryota; Bacillariophyta; Bacillariophyceae; Bacillariales; Bacillariaceae. The record is from RNAcentral.